AUUGAUGUACUAAGUGUGUACCAGCAUGAUCUUGGGAUGGUACGGAAAGACCAAAGGCUUGACUCGUCUUGAGUCGGGUCGCUACACCACGUUAACAACGACGACGAGAACAACAACGACGACGACAACAACAACAACAACAACAACAGCAAUAAAAACAACAACAACAAACAACAAACAACAACAACAACAACAGCAACAACAACAACAGCAACAAUAACAACAACAACAACAACAAAAGCAGCAGCAGCA
Molecule: long non-coding RNA, 252 nt
Filed under: Hordeum vulgare
Lineage: Eukaryota; Viridiplantae; Streptophyta; Magnoliopsida; Poales; Poaceae
Description: long non-coding RNA (HVUL_LNC012237)
Source: RNAcentral